GGGGAAUCUUCCGCAAUGGACGAAAGUCUGACGGAGCAACGCCGCGUGAGUGAUGACGGCCUUCGGGUUGUAAAGCUCUGUUAAUCGGGACGAAUGGUUCUUGUGCGAAUAGUGCGAGGAUUUGACGGUACCGGAAUAGAAAGCCACGGCUAACUACGUGCCAGCAGCCGCGGUAAUACGUAGGUGGCAAGCGUUGUCCGGAAUUAUUGGGCGUAAAGCGCGCGCAGGCGGAUUGGUCAGUCUGUCUUAAAAGUUCGGGGCUUAACCCCGUGAUGGGAUGGAAACUGCCAAUCUAGAGUAUCGGAGAGGAAAGUGGAAUUCCUAGUGUAGCGGUGAAAUGCGUAGAUAUUAGGAAGAACACCAGUGGCGAAGGCGACUUUCUGGACGAAAACUGACGCUGAGGCGCGAAAGCCAGGGGAGCGAACGGGAUUAGAUACCCCGGUAGUCCUGGCCGUAAACGAUGGGUACUAGGUAUAGGAGGUAUCGACCCCUUCUGUGCCGGAGUUAACGCAAUAAGUACCCCGCCUGGGGAGUACGACCGCAAGGUUG
RNAcentral lists this ribosomal RNA (549 nucleotides) under uncultured bacterium. RNAcentral's name for it is "bacterial SSU rRNA". It matches the Rfam family "Bacterial small subunit ribosomal RNA", at positions 356 to 896 of the family's 1533-position model. The record is from RNAcentral.